GACGAACGCUGGCGGCGUGCUUCAUACAUGCAAGUCGAACGAGAAUCUGACUUCGGGUCAGAGGAAAGUGGCGGACGGGUGAGUAAUAUGUAGAAAAUCUGCCCUAGAGAGGGGGACGACAGAGGGAAACUUCUGCUAAUACCCCAUAUGAGCUACCUUGAAAUAGGUAUCUUGAAAACUCCGGUGCUCUGGGAUGAGUCUGCAUCUGAUUAGCUUGUUGGCGGGGUAAUGGCCCACCAAGGCGACGAUCAGUAGCUGGUUUGAGAGGAUGAUCAGCACAAUGGGACUGAGCACGGCCCAUAACUCCUACGGGAGGCAGCAGUAGGGAAUUUUGCGCAAUGGGCGAAAGCCUGACGCAGCAACGCCGCG
This 369-nucleotide ribosomal RNA is filed under the name uncultured bacterium. Its description in RNAcentral is "bacterial SSU rRNA". It matches the Rfam family "Bacterial small subunit ribosomal RNA", at positions 28 to 401 of the family's 1533-position model. The record is from RNAcentral.